RNAcentral lists this ribosomal RNA (384 nucleotides) under Asterias sp. Its description in RNAcentral is "partial small subunit ribosomal RNA". It matches the Rfam family "Eukaryotic small subunit ribosomal RNA", at positions 587 to 975 of the family's 1831-position model. Lineage: Eukaryota; Metazoa; Echinodermata; Asteroidea; Forcipulatida; Asteriidae. The record is from RNAcentral.
AGCUCCAAUAGCGUAUAUUAAAAUUGCUGCAGUUAAAAAGCUCGUAGUUGGAUCUUGGGCGCAGGCUGGCGGUCCGCCGCAAGGCGCGCCACUGCCCGCCUGGCCUUCCUCUCGGUCUCCGCCCGGUUCUCUUGACUGAGUGCCGGGCGCGGCCGAAACGUUUACUUUGAAAAAAUUGGAGUGUUCAAAGCAGGCCGUGAGCCUGGACAGCAGAGCAUGGAAUAAUGGAAUAGGACCUCGGUUCUAUUGCGUUGGUUUUCGGAACUCGAGGUAAUGAUUAAGAGGGACUGACGGGGGCAUUCGUAUUGCGGUGUGAGAGGUGAAAUUCUUGGAUCGCCGCAAGACGACCGACUGCGAAAGCAUUUGCCAAGAAUGUUUUCAUUA